CCUACGGGAGGCAGCAGUGGGGGCUAUUGCACAAUGGGGGGAACCCUGAUGCAGCGACGCCGCGUGGGUGAAGAAGCGCCUCGGCGCGUAAAGCCCUGUCAGCAGGGAAGAAAAUGACGGUACCUGAAGAAGACGCCCCGGCUAACUACGUGCCAGCAGCCGCGGUAAUACGUAGGGGGCAAGCGUUAUCCGGAUUUACUGGGUGGAAAGGGGGCGCAGACGGCGAUGCAAGCCAGGAGUGAAAGCCCGGGGCCCAACCCCGGGACUGCUCUUGGAACUGCGUGGCUGGAGUGCAGGAGGGGCAGGCGGAAUUCCUGGUGUAGCGGUGAAAUGCGUAGAUAUCAGGAGGAACACCGGUGGCGAAGGCGGCCUGCUGGACUGCAACUGACGUUGAGGCCCGAAAGCGUGGGGAGCAAACAGGAUUAGAUACCCCAGUAGUC
This 440-nucleotide ribosomal RNA is filed under the name uncultured bacterium. Its description in RNAcentral is "partial 16S ribosomal RNA". It matches the Rfam family "Bacterial small subunit ribosomal RNA", at positions 338 to 795 of the family's 1533-position model. The record is from RNAcentral.